GUUCCUUACAGCAUGAGCGUGUGGGGGGGCCCAAUAGUAGGUUGAUGCACUGCAAGCCUCUGGUGGAUCCUCCACCUUGAGGUUCCAGAAGCUCCAGUAGCUUCAAAUAACUGUUUGCUGCUUUGUAAGGGCAUUUUAACAGCUGCUCUCUUAAUCCGAUGAAUUUGUCUAAC
This is a long non-coding RNA of Xiphophorus couchianus (Monterrey platyfish), 173 nucleotides long. RefSeq lists it as uncharacterized. The transcript is spliced from 3 exons. Lineage: Eukaryota; Metazoa; Chordata; Actinopteri; Cyprinodontiformes; Poeciliidae. The record is from RefSeq and is a predicted model, not a curated record.